UAACAGGCCUCCGGUGGAGGGCGGGGACCCUCGGAAGCCAGCUGGGUGGCGAUCGCUUGUCUGCCUUGGCAGGCCCCUUGUGCAGUCUUUUCCCGGCGUGAGCGUGCAGGGAUUGAAAAGGAAUGCUUUAUGGUUCAGCAGAGAGUCACCACGCAGGAUGUACUGGGACCUGUGAACCGUCGGGCAGUCCCACGAGCUCUUUCAUGACCAGCUCCAACCGACAAGUACACGCCCCUUCUCUCACUCCACUAGCUAGUAAGCUGAGCUACAAGGUGUGCCAGGCACCCAGGACGCCGAUUCACCGCUUCAGACUGAAUUUUUCCACCACCUGGAUGAACAUAGCAGAAAGAACAUAGUGUUUUAGAGUCAGACACAAUAGGAAUCAGGCACUUUGGAAUCUUGGCUCAGCCACCUUUGAGCUAUGUAUCCCAAGGCAAGUCACUUCCCCUCUCUCAGCUUUAAAAUAGUAAUAGGAUU
RNAcentral lists this long non-coding RNA (477 nucleotides) under Gorilla gorilla gorilla (western lowland gorilla). RNAcentral's name for it is "lncRNA (ENSGGOG00000044278.1)". Lineage: Eukaryota; Metazoa; Chordata; Mammalia; Primates; Hominidae. The record is from RNAcentral.